UAUAAACAUAAGAAAUAAGGGCGUAGGGCAUACGCUGUCAGCUCGGGAGUUAUACAGUCGCAGUAGCGAGGUAGCCCAAGAAUCCCACAGUCUUUAGACGUGGGAGUGUCAAAAUUUAAUCAUUUGGAAAUAUGUAUCAAUCUAAAAUAGCCGGGCUGGGUAGUUUUGUACCGGAGAAUGUAGUUACCAACGACGAUCUUUCUAAACUUAUGGAUACCAGUGAUGCCUGGAUACAGGAACGUACCGGUAUAAAAGAGCGAAG
RNAcentral lists this unclassified non-coding RNA (262 nucleotides) under uncultured fungus. RNAcentral's name for it is "sequence contains ITS1". Lineage: Eukaryota; Fungi. The record is from RNAcentral.